UGUUGCCAGGGUGUUGCUAGAGGGGUGGUCAUUUGUUGCCAGGGUGUUGCUAGAGGGGUGGUCAGUGUUGCCAGGGUGUUGCUAGAGGGGUGGUCAGUUGUUGCCAGGGCGUUUGCUAGAGGGGUGGUCAGUUGUUGCCAGGGUGUUGCUAGAGGGGUGGUCAGUUGUUGCCAGGGUGUUGCUAGAGGGCUGGUCAGUUGUUGCCAGGGCGUUGCUAGAGUGAUGGUCAGUUGUUGCAAGGGUGUUGCUAGAGGGCUGGUCAG
Cyprinus carpio (common carp) is the source of this 263-nucleotide long non-coding RNA. RefSeq lists it as uncharacterized. NCBI's taxonomy places the organism in Eukaryota, Metazoa, Chordata, Actinopteri, Cypriniformes, Cyprinidae. The transcript has 3 exons. The record is from RefSeq and is a predicted model, not a curated record.